Molecule: ribosomal RNA, 591 nt
Filed under: Xanthomonas vasicola pv. musacearum NCPPB 2005
Lineage: Bacteria; Pseudomonadati; Pseudomonadota; Gammaproteobacteria; Lysobacterales; Lysobacteraceae
Description: bacterial LSU rRNA
Rfam family: Bacterial large subunit ribosomal RNA
Source: RNAcentral
GUUAUAUGGUCAAGCGAAUAAGCGCACACGGUGGAUGCCUAGGCGGUCAGAGGCGAUGAAGGACGUGGUAGCCUGCGAAAAGUGUCGGGGAGCUGGCAACAAGCUUUGAUCCGGCAAUAUCCGAAUGGGGAAACCCACUGCUUCGGCAGUAUCCUGCAGUGAAUUCAUAGCUGCUGGAAGCGAACCCGGUGAACUGAAAUAUCUAAGUAACCGGAGGAAAAGAAAUCAACCGAGAUUCCCUAAGUAGUGACGAGCGAACGGGGAGCAGCCCUUAAGCUGGAAUGGCUUUAGAAAAACAAUCUGGAAAGAUUGGCCAUAGAAGGUGAUAGCCCUGUAUUUAAAAGGGCCACUCCAGUGAAGACGAGUAGGGCGGGGCACGUGAAACCCUGUCUGAAUAUGGGGGGACCAUCCUCCAAGGCUAAAUACUCCUGACCGACCGAUAGUGAACCAGUACCGUGAGGGAAAGGCGAAAAGAACCCCGGAGAGGGGAGUGAAAUAGAUCCUGAAACCGUGUGCGUACAAGCAGUAGGAGCUCGCAAGAGUGACUGCGUACCUUUUGUAUAAUGGGUCAGCGACUUACUGUUCGUGGCA